This 610-nucleotide ribosomal RNA is filed under the name Rhodotorula mucilaginosa. RNAcentral's name for it is "partial large subunit ribosomal RNA". It matches the Rfam family "Eukaryotic large subunit ribosomal RNA", at positions 36 to 662 of the family's 3401-position model. Lineage: Eukaryota; Fungi; Basidiomycota; Microbotryomycetes; Sporidiobolales; Sporidiobolaceae. The record is from RNAcentral.
GAGACAGUCAAUAAGCGGAGGAAAAGAAACUAACAAGGAUUCCCCUAGUAGCGGCGAGCGAAGCGGGAAGAGCUCAAAUUUAUAAUCUGGCACCUUCGGUGUCCGAGUUGUAAUCUCUAGAAAUGUUUUCCGCGUUGGACCGCACACAAGUCUGUUGGAAUACAGCGGCAUAGUGGUGAGACCCCCGUAUAUGGUGCGGACGCCCAGCGCUUUGUGAUACAUUUUCGAAGAGUCGAGUUGUUUGGGAAUGCAGCUCAAAUUGGGUGGUAAAUUCCAUCUAAAGCUAAAUAUUGGCGAGAGACCGAUAGCGAACAAGUACCGUGAGGGAAAGAUGAAAAGCACUUUGGAAAGAGAGUUAACAGUACGUGAAAUUGUUGGAAGGGAAACGCUUGAAGUCAGACUUGCUUGCUGAGCAAUCGGUUUGCAGGCCAGCAUCAGUUUUCCGGGAUGGAUAAUGGUAGAGAGAAGGUAGCAGUUUCGGCUGUGUUAUAGCUCUCUGCUGGAUACAUCUUGGGGGACUGAGGAACGCAGUGUGCCUUUGGCGGGGGUUUCGACCUCUUCACACUUAGGAUGCUGGUGGAAUGGCUUUAAACGACCCGUCUUGAAACAC